This 672-nucleotide ribosomal RNA is filed under the name Triticum aestivum (bread wheat). RNAcentral describes it as "partial small subunit ribosomal RNA". The record is from RNAcentral. Lineage: Eukaryota; Viridiplantae; Streptophyta; Magnoliopsida; Poales; Poaceae.
CGCCUGGCGCGAAUCGGCUCCACCCGCCAAGCAAUACCAUCUGGCGUCGCCCUUCGGCGCCUCCUCAAGCCGUCUGUCAAUCCUACACCAAAAUCAGACUCCAUCUUUGUGCCGGCUCCCCCCGAAGAAGUCGGAUCCGACUUAAGAGCCCCAGCAGGCAGCACGAGAAUUCUUGCAAAUGACUCCAAGAACGCCGUAGUCGAAGCCGGCCCGGGGACUUUAGAACCCGACCCGGGGACUAUGGCGACCAGUCCGAAGACUCCAGAACUCGGCCCGGGGACUGCGCCAGUCAGCCCGGGGACUUCAUCAAUCCAGCAAGUGGCCGCGGACUCUAGCCCGCCGCCUCCCAGCCCAACCACCCUCGUCCAAGUCGCAGUACUGACGGUUGAAGAAAUAGCAGCACCCUCAUGGGCCCAUCCCAUCCUCAAGUUCCUAGUGAGCAAAGAGCUGCCAACUGAUGAAAUCCUGGCUCGGCAAGUGCAACGCCGAGCGGCAGCUUACACCAUAGUCAAUAGAGAGUUGGUCAGGCGUAGCGUCACUGGUGUCUACCAGUGUUGCAUCGAGCCAGAGCAAGGCCAAGCAACUCUCAAAGAAAUCCAUCAAGGCGAGUGUGGCCACCAUGCGGCUUCAAGAGCACUCGUCGCCAAAGCCUUUCGACAUGGUUUCUUCUAG